GAUGAACGCUGGCGGCGUGCCUAAUACAUGCAAGUCGAACGAAACUUCUUUAUCACCGAGUGCCUGCACUCACCGAUAAAGAGUUGAGUGGCGAACGGGUGAGUAACACGUGGGCAACCUGCCCAAAAGAGGGGGAUAACACUUGGAAACAGGUGCUAAUACCGCAUAACCAUAGUUACCGCAUGGUAACUAUGUAAAAGGUGGCUAUACUACCGCUUUUGGAUGGGCCCGCGGCGCAUUAGCUAGUUGGUAGGGUAAAGGCUUACCAAGGCAAUGAUGCGUAGCCGAAUUGAGAGGUUGUUCGGCCACAUUGGGACUGAGACACGGCCCAAACUCCUACGGGAGGCAGCAGUAGGGAAUCUUCCACAAUGGGCGAAAGCCUGAUGGAGCAACGCCGCGUGGGUGAAGAAGGUCUUCGGAUCGUAAAACCCUGUUGUUAGAGAAGAAAGUGCGUGAGAGUAACUGUUCACGUUUCGACGGUAUCUAACCGGAAAGCCACGGCUAACUACGUG
RNAcentral lists this ribosomal RNA (512 nucleotides) under uncultured bacterium. RNAcentral describes it as "partial 16S ribosomal RNA". It matches the Rfam family "Bacterial small subunit ribosomal RNA", at positions 28 to 507 of the family's 1533-position model. The record is from RNAcentral.